This 648-nucleotide ribosomal RNA is filed under the name uncultured bacterium. RNAcentral describes it as "bacterial SSU rRNA". The stretch from base 1 to 545 matches the Rfam family "Bacterial small subunit ribosomal RNA", at positions 338 to 873 of the family's 1533-position model. The record is from RNAcentral.
CCUACGGGAGGCAGCAGUGGGGAAUAUUGGACAAUGGGCGCAAGCCUGAUCCAGCAAUGCCGCGUGUGUGAAGAAGGCCUUCGGGUUGUAAAGCACUUUAGGCAGGGAAGAAAAAAUCGGCGAUAACAUCGCCGAUCUUGACGGUACCUGAGGAAUAAGCACCGGCUAACUCUGUGCCAGCAGCCGCGGUAAUACAGAGGGUGCAAGCGUUAAUCGGAUUUACUGGGCGUAAAGCGUGUGUAGGUGGUUAGAAAAGUCGAUUGUGAAAUCCCUGGGCUCAACCCGGGAACUGCUUUCGAGACUGUUUGACUAGAAUUCGGUAGAGGGAGGCGGAACUCCAGGUGUAGCGGUGAAAUGCGUAGAUAUCUGGAAGAACACCAAUGGCGAAGGCAACCUCCUGGGCCUGAAUUGACACUGAGACACGAAAGCGUGGGGAUCAAACAGGAUUAGAUACCCUGGUAGUCCACGCCGUAAACGAUGAGAACUUGACGUCGGUUUGCUCUGCGAGUCGGUGUCGUAGUCUACGACGAUAAGUUACUUCCGUCCGUCGGGGAGGUACGGGCCGGCCGAACGGUUAGGUAAACGUUAAAGUUAGUAAGUUAGUACGGCGUGAGACGUACGCCGACGGACGACGACGAGGGAGGAGGG